AUGUCUGCGCCCCCAUCACCGCGACCUCCUCGCCUGGCGGCCUGCUCAUGUGUUCAUCGUCUGAGGAGAAGAAGGAUCUCCUUUUCUUUUCAUCAACACCAAGAGCGAGCAAGCACAACCCCGGGAGCAGCCAGUCAAAGGAUGGAUGUGGAAAAUGCGAGAGAGCAUCAAGAUCGUCUUGCUAAAAUGUGCAGCCUUCUAUUUUGUCAUGAAAUGAAAGAAAGCAAAGCGUGUGAAGAACAUCAAAUCCAGGACAUAUCACCGGUUGUUCAAGACAGACAAACUGAAGGCAUCCUUAGCAGACUUGGAGGCAGAUCCAGAAGCUUCAAAAGAUUCCGCUAUGAAACUAGAAUCUAA
RNAcentral lists this ribosomal RNA (357 nucleotides) under Triticum aestivum (bread wheat). Its description in RNAcentral is "partial small subunit ribosomal RNA". The record is from RNAcentral. Lineage: Eukaryota; Viridiplantae; Streptophyta; Magnoliopsida; Poales; Poaceae.